UACAGAGGGUGCGAGCGUUAAUCGGAAUUACUGGGCGUAAAGCGUGCGCAGGCGGUUUUUUAAGCCAGAUGUGAAAUCCCCGGGCUCAACCUGGGAAUGGCAUUUGGGACUGCAAGGCUGGAGUGUGGCAGAGGAGACUGGAAUUCCCGGUGUAGCAGUGAAAUGCGUAGAUAUCGGGAGGAAUACCGAUGGCGAAGGCAGGUCUCUGGGCUGACACUGACGCUCAUGCACGAAAGCGUGGGGAGCAAACAGG
This 253-nucleotide ribosomal RNA is filed under the name uncultured bacterium. RNAcentral describes it as "partial 16S ribosomal RNA". It matches the Rfam family "Bacterial small subunit ribosomal RNA", at positions 524 to 776 of the family's 1533-position model. The record is from RNAcentral.